CCUACGGGUGGCAGCAGUGGGGAAUAUUGGGCAAUGGGCGCAAGCCUGACCCAGCAACGCCGCGUGAAGGAAGAAGGCUUUCGGGGUGUAAACUUCUUUUCUCAGGGACGAAGAAAGUGACGGUACCUGAGGAAUAAGCCACGGCUAACUACGUGCCAGCAGCCGCGGUAAUACGUAGGUGGCAAGCGUUAUCCGGAUUUACUGGGUGUAAAGGGCGUGUAGGCGGGGAAGGAAGUCAGAUGUGAAAACCACGGGCGCAACCUUUGGCCUGCAUUUGAAACUGUUUUUCUUGAGUACUGGAGAGGCAGACGGAAUUCCUAGUGUAGCGGUGAAAUGCGUAGAGAUUAGGAGGAACACCAGUGGCGAAGGCGGUCUGCUGGACAGCAACUGACGCUGAGGCGCGAAAGCGUGGGGAGCAAACAGGAUUAGAUACCCUGGUAGUC
This 443-nucleotide ribosomal RNA is filed under the name uncultured bacterium. RNAcentral's name for it is "partial 16S ribosomal RNA". It matches the Rfam family "Bacterial small subunit ribosomal RNA", at positions 338 to 795 of the family's 1533-position model. The record is from RNAcentral.